AACGCGAAGAACCUUACCUGGGCUUGAACCGCUGGUGACUAACGGUAGAAAUAUCGUCUUCUCGCAAGAGACACCAGUAGAGGUGCUGCAUGGCUGUCGUCAGCUCGUGCCGUGAGGUGUUGGGUUAAGUCCCGCAACGAGCGCAACCCUUAUCCUUAGUUGCCACCCGCAAGGGGGAACUCUAAGGGGACUGCUCCGGAUAACGGAGAGGAAGGUGGGGAUGACGUCAAGUCAGCACGGCCUUUAUGUCCAGGGCUACACACGUGUUACAAUGCAGAGUACAAACCGUCGCGAACCCGCGAGGGGGAGCUAAUCGGAAAAAAGUCUAGCUCAGUUCGGAUUGCAGUCUGCAACUCGACUGCAUGAAGCCGGAAUCGCUAGUAAUGGCGUAUCAGAACGACGCCGUGAAUACGUUCCCGGGCCUUGUACACACCGCAUAC
This 440-nucleotide ribosomal RNA is filed under the name uncultured bacterium. RNAcentral describes it as "bacterial SSU rRNA". It matches the Rfam family "Bacterial small subunit ribosomal RNA", at positions 958 to 1397 of the family's 1533-position model. The record is from RNAcentral.